UACGUAGGGGGCUAGCGUUGUCCGGAUUUAUUGGGCGUAAAGAGCGUGUAGGCGGCCAGGUAGGUCCGUUGUGAAAACUCGAGGCUCAACCUCGAGACGUCGGCGGAAACCCUCUGGCUAGAGUCCGGAAGAGGAGAGUGGAAUUCCUGGUGUAGCGGUGAAAUGCGUAGAUAUCUGGAGGAGCACCGAUGGCGAAGGCGGGUCUCUGGACCGAUACUGACACUGAGGAGCGAAAGCGUGGGGAGCGAACAGG
Molecule: ribosomal RNA, 253 nt
Filed under: uncultured bacterium
Lineage: Bacteria
Description: partial 16S ribosomal RNA
Rfam family: Bacterial small subunit ribosomal RNA
Source: RNAcentral